RNAcentral lists this ribosomal RNA (429 nucleotides) under bacterium. RNAcentral describes it as "partial 16S ribosomal RNA". It matches the Rfam family "Bacterial small subunit ribosomal RNA", at positions 355 to 776 of the family's 1533-position model. The record is from RNAcentral.
UAGGGAAUCUUCCACAAUGGACGCAAGUCUGAUGGAGCAACGCCGCGUGAGUGAAGAAGGUUUUCGGAUCGUAAAGCUCUGUUGUUGGUGAAGAAGGAUAGAGGUAGUAACUGGCCUUUAUUUGACGGUAAUCAACCAGAAAGUCACGGCUAACUACGUUCCAGCAGCCGCGGUAAUACGUAGGUGGCAAGCGUUGUCCGGAUUUAUUGGGCGUAAAGCGAGCGCAGGCGGAAGAAUAAGUCUGAUGUGAAAGCCCUCGGCUUAACCGAGGAACUGCAUCGGAAACUGUUUUUCUUGAGUGCAGAAGAGGAGAGUGGAAUUCCAUGUGUAGCGGUGGAAUGCGUAGAUAUAUGGAAGAACACCAGUGGCGAAGGCGACUCUCUGGUCUGCAACUGACGCUGAGGCUCGAAAGCAUGGGUAGCGAACAGG